UGGGGAAUUUUGGACAAUGGGCGAAAGCCUGAUCCAGCAAUGCCGCGUGUGUGAAGAAGGCCUUCGGGUUGUAAAGCACUUUUGUCCGGAAAGAAAUCCUUGGCUCUAAUACAGUCGGGGGAUGACGGUACCGGAAGAAUAAGCACCGGCUAACUACGUGCCAGCAGCCGCGGUAAUACGUAGGGUGCAAGCGUUAAUCGGAAUUACUGGGCGUAAAGCGUGCGCAGGCGGUUUGCUAAGACCGAUGUGAAAUCCCCGGGCUCAACCUGGGAACUGCAUUGGUGACUGGCAGGCUAGAGUAUGGCAGAGGGGGGUAGAAUUCCACGUGUAGCAGUGAAAUGCGUAGAGACGUGGAGGAAUACCGAUGGCGAAGGCAGCCCCCUGGGCCAAUACUGACGCUCAUGCACGAAAGCGUGGGGAGCAAACAGGAUUAGAUACCCUGGUAGUCCACGCCCUAAACGAUGUCAACUAGUUGUUGGGGAUUCAUUUCCUUAGUAACGUAGCUAACGCGUGAAGUUGACCGCCUGGGGAGUACGGUCGCAAGAUUAAAACUUAAAUGAAUUGACGGGGUCAUAGCUG
Molecule: ribosomal RNA, 579 nt
Filed under: uncultured bacterium
Lineage: Bacteria
Description: partial 16S ribosomal RNA
Rfam family: Bacterial small subunit ribosomal RNA
Source: RNAcentral